GACAAACGCUGGCGGCGUGCUUAACACAUGCAAGUCGAACGGAAAGGCCCUGCUUUUGUGGGGUGCUCGAGUGGCGAACGGGUGAGUAACACGUGAGUAACCUGCCCUUGACUUUGGGAUAACUUCAGGAAACUGGGGCUAAUACCGGAUAGGAGCUCCUGCUGCAUGGUGGGGGUUGGAAAGUUUCGGCGGUUGGGGAUGGACUCGCGGCUUAUCAGCUUGUUGGUGGGGUAGUGGCUUACCAAGGCUUUGACGGGUAGCCGGCCUGAGAGGGUGACCGGCCACAUUGGGACUGAGAUACGGCCCAGACUCCUACGGGAGGCAGCAGUGGGGAAUAUUGCACAAUGGGCGGAAGCCGGAUGCAGCAACGCCGCGUGCGGGAUGACGGCCUUCGGGUUGUAAACCGCUUUCGCCUGUGACGAAGCGUGAGUGACGGUAAUGGGUAAAGAAGCACCGGCUAACUACGUG
This 468-nucleotide ribosomal RNA is filed under the name uncultured bacterium. RNAcentral describes it as "partial 16S ribosomal RNA". It matches the Rfam family "Bacterial small subunit ribosomal RNA", at positions 28 to 507 of the family's 1533-position model. The record is from RNAcentral.